CCUACGGGCGGCAGCAGUGAGGAAUAUUGGUCAAUGGACGAGAGUCUGAAGCAGCCAAGUAGCGUGAAGGAUGACUGCCCUCGGGGUUGUAAACUUCUUUUAUAUGGGAAUAAAAUGUGCCACGUGUGGGAGUUUGUAUGUACCAUAUGAAUAAGGAUCGGCUAACUCCGUGCCAGCAGCCGCGGUAAUACGGAGGAUCCGAGCGUUAUCCGGAUUUAUUGGGUUUAAAGGGAGCGUAGGUGGAUGGUUAAGUCAGUUGUGAAAGUUUGCGGCUCAACCGUAAAAUUGCAAUUGAUACUGGCAGUCUUGAGUACAGUUGAGGUAGGCGGAAUGCGUGGUGUAGCGGUGAAAUGCUUAGAUAUCACGAAGAACUCCGAUUGCGAAGGCAGCUUACUAAACUGCCACUGACAUUGAUGCUCGAAAGUGUGGGUAUCAAACAGGAUUAGAUACCCUAGUAGUC
RNAcentral lists this ribosomal RNA (460 nucleotides) under uncultured bacterium. RNAcentral describes it as "partial 16S ribosomal RNA". It matches the Rfam family "Bacterial small subunit ribosomal RNA", at positions 338 to 795 of the family's 1533-position model. The record is from RNAcentral.